Molecule: ribosomal RNA, 405 nt
Filed under: uncultured bacterium
Lineage: Bacteria
Description: partial 16S ribosomal RNA
Rfam family: Bacterial small subunit ribosomal RNA
Source: RNAcentral
AUUGAACGCUGGCGGCAGGCCUAACACAUGCAAGUCGAACGAGUGGCGGACGGGUGAGUAAUGUCUGGGAAACUGCCUGAUGGAGGGGGAUAACUACUGGAAACGGUAGCUAAUACCGCAUACCAUCGGAUGUGCCCAGAUGGGAUUAGCUAGUAGGUGGGGUAAAGGCUCACCUAGGCGACGAUCCCUAGCUGGUCUGAGAGGAUGACCAGCAACGCUGGAACAGAGACACGGUCCAGAAUCCGACGGGAGGCAGCAGUGGGGAACAUUGCACAAUGGGCGCAAGCCUGAGGCAGCCAUGCCGCGUGGAUGAAGAAGGCCUUCGUGUUGUAAAGUACUUUCAGCGGAGAGGCGUUACCCGCAGAAGAAGCACCGGCGAACUCCGUGCCAGCAGCCGCGUAAUUC